RNAcentral lists this ribosomal RNA (402 nucleotides) under Verrucomicrobiota bacterium. RNAcentral describes it as "Verrucomicrobia bacterium partial 16S ribosomal RNA". It matches the Rfam family "Bacterial small subunit ribosomal RNA", at positions 355 to 776 of the family's 1533-position model. The record is from RNAcentral. Lineage: Bacteria; Pseudomonadati; Verrucomicrobiota.
UGGGGAAUUUUGCACAAUGGGGGAAACCCUGAUGCAGCGACGCCGCGUGAUUUAGAAGGCCUUCGGGUUGUAAAAAUCUUUUUCAUGGGAUGAAAAUGACAGUACCAUAAGAAUAAGGUCCAGCUAAAUACGUGCCAGCAGCCGCGGUAAUACGUAUGGACCGAGCGUUGUCCGGAAUCAUUGGGCGUAAAGGGUACGUAGGCGGCCCAGUAAGUCAGAAGUGAAAUAAUAUAGCUCAACUAUAUAAAGCUUUUAAAACUGCUAGGCUUGAGAGAUGGAAGGGAAAGUGGAAUUCCUAGUGUAGCGGUGAAAUGCGCAGAUAUUAGGAAGAAUACCGGUGGCGAAGGCGACUUUCUGGUCAUCAUCUGACGCUGAGGUACGAAAGCGUGGGUAGCAAACAGG